Haliotis rubra (blacklip abalone) is the source of this 323-nucleotide long non-coding RNA. RefSeq lists it as uncharacterized. Lineage: Eukaryota; Metazoa; Mollusca; Gastropoda; Lepetellida; Haliotidae. The record is from RefSeq and is a predicted model, not a curated record. The transcript is spliced from 3 exons.
CAUAAGCGAGUAUCUGCGAGAAUUAGCGUGAUCUACCGUACAAUGGCAGUGUUAAUGUUACUUGUUUUUGUACUACACGUUCAUCACGUGGUCAGCAACGUCAAGAGUAACGCCAUUAACAACACCCACAACGUAAGCAGCGACAUCAUCGACAUGAAAGUUCGAAUUCGAAGAGCAUCGACAACAAUGAAGCUGGUCGGGGGUCAGUGGCCUUGGGAGGGACGGCUCGUUAUAACGGGAACCGAUGGGAAUCACGGGUCUAUGUGUGCAGAGAUGAUGACAAAGAAUGACAGAAACGUCAUCUGUAAACACUUGUUCUACCA